AGUGAACGCUGGCGGUAGGCCUAACACAUGCAAGUCGAACGGCAGCACAGGAGAGCUUGCUCUCUGGGUGGCGAGUGGCGGACGGGUGAGGAAUACAUCGGAAUCUACUCUGUCGUGGGGGAUAACGUAGGGAAACUUACGCUAAUACCGCAUACGACCUACGGGUGAGAGCAGGGGAUCUUCGGACCUUGCGCGAUUGAAUGAGCCGAUGUCGGAUUAGCUAGUUGGCGGGGUAAAGGCCCACCAAGGCGCCGAUCCGUAGCUGGUCUGAGAGGAUCAUCAGCCACACUGGAACUGAGACACGGUCCAGACUCCUACGGGAGGAAGCAGUGGGGAAUAUUGGACAAUGGGCGCAAGCCUGAUCCAGCCAUACCGCGUGGGUGAAGAAGGCCUUCGGGUUGUAAAGCCCUUUUGUUGGGAAAGAAAUCCAGCUGGCUAAUACCCGGUUGGGAUGACGGUACCCUAAGAAUAAGCACCGGCUAACUUCGUGCCAGCCGCCGCCGUAA
RNAcentral lists this ribosomal RNA (506 nucleotides) under uncultured bacterium. RNAcentral's name for it is "partial 16S ribosomal RNA". It matches the Rfam family "Bacterial small subunit ribosomal RNA", at positions 29 to 523 of the family's 1533-position model. The record is from RNAcentral.